AGAGUUUGAUCCUGGCUCAGAACGAACGCUGGCGGCGUGGCUAAGACAUGCAAGUCGAACGAUCUCUUCGGAGAUAGUGGCGAAAGGAUGAGUAAUGGAUAGGUAACGUACCUUGUGUUCCGGGAUAGCGUCUGAAGCUUGCUUCUUCCGAAAGGGGCAGUAAUACCGGAUUAUAUAGUAUCUUGCAGGAGAUAUUAUCAAAGAUUUAUCGACACAAGAGCGGCCUAUUCCCUAUCAGUUUGUUGGUGAGGUAACGGCUCACCAAGACAACGACGGGUAGCGGGACUGAGAGGUUGGCCCGCCAUAUCGGGACUGAGACACUGCCCGGACCUCCACGGAGGGCUGCAGUAACGAAUAUUGGGCAAUGGGCGAAAGCCUGACCCAGCGACGCCGCGUGCAGGAUGAAUCCCCUCGGGGUGUAAACUGCUGUCAGGGAUACGUAAGUGCGCCUUGUGCGCAUUGAACUAGCCCAAAGGAAGUCACGGCUAACUUCGUGCCAGCAGCCGCGGUAAUACGAAGGUGGCUAGCGUUGUUCGGAAUCACUGGGCUUAAAGCGUGCGUAGGCGGAUUAUCAAGUGUCCUUUGAAAUCCCACGGCUCAACCGUGGAACUGGGGGGCAAACUGGUAGUCUUGAGGCAGUUAGGGGUGGGUGGAACUCUUGGUGGAGCGGUGGAAUGCGUAGAUAUCAAGAGGAACGCCAGAGGUGAAAACGACCCACUGGGACUGUCCUGACGCUGAGGUACGAAAGCGUGGGUAGCGAACGGGAUUAGAUACCCCGGUAGUCCACGCUGUAAACGAUGUGUACUAAACCAUGGUGCUCUGACUGCAUCGUGGUUGUAGCAAAAGUAUUAAGUACACCGCCUGGGGAGUACGGUCGCAAGGCUAAAACUCAAAGGAAUUGACGGGGGCUCACACAAGCGGUGGAGCAUGUGGAUUAAUUCGAUGCAACGCGCAGAACCUUACCUGGGUUUGACAUGUUUGGAUGUCUUACCGGAAACGGAUAAGACUGCCUCCUUCGGGAGGUGAAACUUACACAGGUGCUGCAUGGCUGUCGUCAGCUCGUGUCGUGAGAUGUUGGGUUAAGUCCUUAAACGAGCGAAACCCUUACCGUUAGUUACCAUCAGGUUAUGCUGGGGACUCUAGCGGGACUGCCGGUGUUAAACCGGAGGAAGGUGGGGAUGACGUCAAGUCCUCAUGGCCUUUAUGCCCAGGGCUUCACACGUGCUACAAUGGUAAUGACAGAGCGAUGCGAUACCGCGAGGUGGAGCAAAUCGCAUAAACAUUGCCUCAGUUCGGAUUGCAGGCUGACAACUCGCCUGCAUGAAGUUGGAAUCGCUAGUAAUCGCGUAUCAGCUAUGACGCGGUGAAUAUGUUCCUGAGCCUUGUACACACCGCCCGUCAAGUCACGGAAAUCGGGAGCACCCGAAGUCGGAUUGUUAACCAGCAAUGGAGACGUCUGCCUACGGUGAGUUCGGUAACUGGGACUAAGUCGUAACAAGGUAGCCGUAG
RNAcentral lists this ribosomal RNA (1509 nucleotides) under uncultured bacterium. Its description in RNAcentral is "bacterial SSU rRNA". It matches the Rfam family "Bacterial small subunit ribosomal RNA". The record is from RNAcentral.